RNAcentral lists this ribosomal RNA (300 nucleotides) under Triticum aestivum (bread wheat). Its description in RNAcentral is "partial small subunit ribosomal RNA". The record is from RNAcentral. Lineage: Eukaryota; Viridiplantae; Streptophyta; Magnoliopsida; Poales; Poaceae.
AUGAGUAUUGUUGCUAAAUUUCAUAGAAAGGUUGUUGGCUGCCAUUCUUUGGACCAAUGCAUCUGUUUCUUGUGCUCAAGCUCUUUUUUACCUGAUGAGAUUCUAUCAAGUAUUCUGUGGAUAGUUGGGAACACAGACAAUUCUACAUUACUUGAAAAGAGCAUUGACUUCAUAUCAACUGUCAUCGAUGAUCAAGAUGUGAUUGCCAUGCUUAUCCAGCCCUUGCUUAAAGUGGGUUUAGUUGACCGUGCUAUUGGGUUACCAACAACUGAGAUUGAAAGAUCACCAAUGAGAAGCUAG